Molecule: long non-coding RNA, 6776 nt
Filed under: Brassica rapa (field mustard)
Lineage: Eukaryota; Viridiplantae; Streptophyta; Magnoliopsida; Brassicales; Brassicaceae
Description: long non-coding RNA (BRAP_LNC002768)
Source: RNAcentral
GUUGCUUGAUAUGACUCACAAGACCAACUAGUUGAGAAGUGAAUUGCUCGGAUAUGACUCACCAAGACAAUCGAAAACAAGUUCUAAAGAGAACAGAGAGUUUAAACUCAGAAACUUAAUCCAAAAUGAUCUGAUUUUAUUAAUGAAAUGAAACACUUAUUUAUAGUACAAGUAGGAGACAAAGGGGCUACUUGACUAGAAGUUUGAAAGACAAAUAAAAUUAAAGACAUUUGACUAGGAUUUUGAAAGACAAAGAAAAAGACUCUUCAAUCUGCGGACUGGUCAAAGUGACCCUUCGGCUUGUUGAACCGCGGCCAGGAGCAGGACGGUCGCGGGCCGGUCCGUCUGUUCCGUCUUGUCCGUCUCCUGAACCAUCUUCGACCAUAAUCGUCCUAAGUCUUCUGAAAGAUGAAGAAUCUGUGCCUUAGAGAGAUUUGGAUGAUCAAAGUGCAUGAACUGAUCAAAUGGAUCGAUCAGUUCGUCAAUACGGUCGGUACGUUCCAAACGUGCGAGAAGAGAGAAGUCGCGUCCAGUUCCUAGUUCGGCUCGGCCUAAGUUGCUUCUGGCUUGACCGUCAGUCUGAGAUUGGCGAGUUGUCCGAGAGAGAGAUGAUCCAGUACGGUCAGUUCGGCUGAUAGGUCGAGGAUCCAGUCUAAGCUUCUUCCCGUCCAUCCGUGGAUCGAUCCGGUACACUGCUCGGCCUUGGUUGGGGCGAUGAACCUCGGUUGGAAUGUCCUGACCUUCCUGAUGGUCGAGUUCCUCGGACUGAGGCACAUCAUUCCCUCCCUCUUCAAAAGGAUUUGUCCACAAAUCUGGAUUAUCUGCAAGAAAAGGAGAUAGAUCAGAAACAUUAAAACUUGAAGAGAUUUCAUACUUACCUUCCAAAUAAGCUGGUAAGCAUUAUCAUUGAUCCUUCUAAGAAUCCGGAAUGGACCGUCGACUCGAGGCAUAAGUUUGGACUUCCUUUCUUCCGGGAAUCGUUCCUUCCUCAAAUGAACCCAAACCAAGUCACCUUCUUGGAAAACCAACUCCUUUCGCUUCUUGUUGGCAUAUCUUUUGUAACCCUCGGUUUUGGUUUCAAUGUUGACUCGAACUUGUUCAUGAAGCUUUUUGAUGGUGUCCGCCCUUCUUUUACCAUCUGUACUAACUCUUUCACUCAAAGGUAAAGGUAAAAGAUCAAGUGGAGAUAAGGGAUUAAAACCAUAAACAACUUCAAAAGGAGAGAACUUUGUAGCUGAAUGCAUAGCAUGAUUAUAAGCAAACUCAACAUGUGGCAAACAAUCUUCCCAAGACUUAAGAUUUUUCUUGACCAAAGAUCUAAGCAAAGCAGACAAAGUUCGAUUAACAACUUCGGUUUGACCAUCAGUUUGCGGAUGACAAGUUGUGGAAAACAUCAAUCUCGUUCCUAACUUAGACCACAAAGUUUUCCAAAAAUAACUAAGAAACUUAGCAUCACGAUCAGAAACAAUGGUCUUAGGCAUUCCAUGCAAUCUCACAAUUUCCCUAAAGAACAGAUCAGCAACUUGUACAGCAUCAUCAGUUUUAUGGCAAGGAAUAAAGUGAGCCAUUUUCGAAAAUCUAUCGACAACCACAAAGAUAGAGUCUCGGCCAUUCUUAGUUCUAGGCAAUCCAAGAACAAAAUCCAUAGAAAUAUCAAUCCAAGGAUGAGAAGGAAUGGGUAAGGCCGAGUACAAACCGUGAUUGGAUGCUUUGGCUUUGGACUUCUUGCACACCACACAUCGGCCACAAAUUCUCUCUACGUCCUUCAUCAAGCUAGGCCAAUAGAAAUGAUCAUACACGGCCUUGUAUGUCUUCUUGAUUCCAAAGCGUCCCAUAAGACCUCCUCCAUGAGAUUCCCUGAGAAACAACUCCCUCAAAGAACAUUGGGGCACACACAAACGGUUAUCAUAGAAAAUAAAACCCGAGUUUCGAUAGUACUUGCCAUAAGCCACUCUGGAACACUUGUUGAAAAUUUCUUUAAAAUCCGGAUCAGAAGCAUACAAGUCUUUGAUAAAUUCAAAACCGAGAAGUUUUGUUUCGAGGGCUGAAAGAAGAGUAUACCUUCGGGACAAGGCAUCAGCCACAACGUUUUCCUUACCUUGCUUGUAUUUGAUGACAUAAGGAAAUGUCUCAAUGAAUUCAACCCAGCGGGCAUGCCUCUUGUUCAGCUUCUGUUGACCUUUAAGGUGUUUCAGGGACUGAUGAUCCGUGUGGAUAACAAACUCCUUAGGCCAAAGAUAGUGUUGCCAUGUUUGAAGAGCUCUUACCAAAGCAUACAACUCUUGAUCAUAAGUUGGGUAGUUGAGUGUGGCGCCUCCAAGCUUCUCACUGAAGUAAGCAAUAGGCUUUCUAUCCUGCAUCAAAACUGCACCAAUACCAACACCCGAAGCAUCACAUUCGAUCUCAAACGUUUUAGAAAAGUCAGGAAGAACAAGUAAAGGAGCAUUAGUCAACUUCCCUUUAAGGAUUUGGAAGGCUUCUUCUUGAGCUUGUUCCCAUUUGAACCCAACAUUCUUUUUAAUGACUUCGGUCAAUGGGGCCGCUAUGGUACUGAAAUCUUGGACGAACCGUCGAUAGAACCCAGCAAGGCCGUGGAAGCUCCUUACUUCACUCACGUUCGUUGGACUUGGCCAGUCUCGGAUGGCUUUGAUUUUCUCCUCGUCCACUCUAAGUCCUUCAGCACCUACAACAAAACCUAAGAAGACCACAUGAUCUGUGCCAAAAGAACACUUUCCAAGGUUAGCAAACAAAUGUUCCUUUCUAAGAACUUCAAGGACAGAUUUCAAAUGUUUCUUAUGUUCAUCCAUGUUCUUGCUGUAGACAAGAAUAUCAUCAAAGUAAACUACCACAAAAUGACCAAUGAAUGCUCUCAAGAUAUGGUUCAUCAAUCGCAUGAAAGUGCUAGGUGCAUUAGUAAGACCAAAUGGCAUGACCAACCAUUCAUACAAUCCUAGCUUGGUUUUAAAUGCAGUUUUCCAUUCAUCACCUUCUUUCAUUCGGAUUUGGUGAUAGCCACUUUUCAAAUCUAUCUUAGAAAAGACACAUGAACCGUAAAGUUCAUCAAGCAUGUCGUCUAGUCUAGGAAUGGGAUGCCUAUAUUUUACCGUAAUGUUGUUGAUGGCACGGCAGUCCACACACAUGCGCCAUGAUCCAUCCUUUUUGGGGACAAGUAGAACUGGGACGGCACAAGGACUGAGGCUUUCCCUGAUGUAACCUUUCUCCAUAAGGUCUCCAAUUUGUUUCUCAAGUUCCUUGGUCUCCACCGGAUUGGUUCUGUAAGCUGGCCGGUUAGGUAGAGACGCACCCGGAACAAAGUCAAUCUGAUGUUCAAUCCCUCGUACUGGCGGCAAACCCUUUGGGUUUUCAUCUGGAAAGACAUCUGAAUAUUCCUGCAAGACGUCUAGCAAAUCACUCGGAACUUCCGGUGCAAGGUUAGAAGAAGUAGAAGCCAUCAGAGAUUCUUUGUACACAAGUAAAAGAAAGGGCUUUUGGGAGUAAAGAGACUUCUUAACCUGACUUUGUUUGAUAAAGAAGUUGGAGUUCCGGACUGAGGACUCAGGUUUGUCCGGUUUGGACUCUUGUUCACGGUUCUUUUUGAGUUGGAGCUGGUCUUGAUGGACCUCCAAGGGCGAGAGUGGUACAAGCGUGAUCUUCUUUCCUUUAUGGUCAAAGGAGUGCCGGUUUGUGUAACCAUCAUGGACGGUUCUUUUAUCAAACUGCCAUGGACGUCCCAACAGAACAUGACAAGCAUCCAUGGGAAGAACGUUGCACACAAUCUCGUCUUCAUAACGACCAAUGGUGAGAGGGAUCGUGACUUGCUCCUUAACAUACUGUUCACCAGUUUCAUUGAGCCAUUCCAACCUGAAAGGACGUGAGAGAGGUCGAGUAGCUAGACCUAAUUUCCUGACAAGAGUAUCACUAGCAACAUUAGUACAACUCCCACCAUCAAUGAUCAAAGAACAAACUUUUUCAGAGAUUAAACAACGAGAAUGAAAGAGAUUCUCCCUUUGUUCCUUUUCAUUGGUUUUGGGCUGAAUACUCAAGGAACGUCUAGUGACCAGUAGUGGUCCGUGAGCUGGAUAGUCAAAGCUAUCUUCAUCAUCAAAGAUCGGCUUAGAAUUUGGAUCAAAGGUCGGGUCAUGGUCGUUGUCCGUGUGGCCGUUCGCGUGGCCGUCCGUUUUAUCGAAGAUGGGUUCGUCCCAAGCCUUCCUAGCCACAAGUAAUGGUCCGUGAUGUGGGUAGUCAAAGGACUCCUCUUCCUCGUCAAAGAUAGGACCAAGAUCCUCCUUGUCUUCUUGUUCAUCUUCGGACUCAACUUCACCAUUUUCCAAGAGAAUCAUCACACGCUGGUUUGGACAGUUCUUGGCAUAAUGUCCUAGCCCUUGACAUUUGAAACAUCUAAUGUCUCUUGCUCGGCUUGAGGCGUCUACUGCCUUUCCUUUGUCAUCACGAGUGGACACAUCAGUUUUAAAGGCAGUAUGUGUUGUGAUAGGCGACUUACCUUUGUCUUGAUAGCUUAGCUUAGGAGCAUAGGCCGGUUUAGGAGAGUAGGCCGGCUUAGAAGUAGUGGCCGGUUUUGAGAAACUCCUUCUCUUGAGUUGUUGCUCGAUCAAGAUGGCUUUGUGUAGCAUCUGUUCCACACUUCCAUACUCUUGAAGCUCCAUACGAUCUUGGAUGUCACGGUUGAGGCCUGAAAGAAAGCGAGCCAUAGUGGCGUCCAAAGGUUCAUCCGUGUCCGUUUUGGUAAUCAAAACUUCCAUCUCUUGAUAAUAGUCUUCCACAGAUUUGGUUCCUUGAAGCAAACGUCUUAGCUUCUGGUGAAGGUCGCGGUGAUAAUGGGUUGGCACAAAUUGUUUCCUCAUCAACAAGGUAAGCUCAUCCUAUGUCUCAAUCGGCCGCUCACUUGUUCUCCUCCUGUGGGUCAACACUUGAUCAUACCAGUUAAUAGCAUAGCCAGAGAAUUCAGUGGCCGCAAGCCUUACUUUUCUAAGUUCAGAAUAGUUUUGACAAUCAAAGACAUGCUCAAUUUUUCUUUCCCACUCUAGAAAAGCAUCAGGGUCGUUUUUACCAUCAAAAGGUGGAAUUUUCAAUUUCAAUCCGUUCAAACUAUCAUCAGUACGAUUGUUUCUAGCAAAUGGAUUGACAUCACCUGGAUUUCGAGUUCUAUGACCUCUUCUUGGUCGGUAAGCGGAUCUGACCUCGUCCUCUUGGGCGUCCUCAUCAGGAAACUCAUCAUCUGACCGGGUAUUCCUUCGCGGCUGAUUGGUUCUUGUCCUUGAUCUAGGAUGGGACUGGCUUACUUGAAGUUCGUAAAGCCUUUGAUGGAUCUGCUCUAGACCUGUGUUUAUAAGGUUAGAAAAAGAAUCAUUCAAAGCUCGCAUCUGAAGAUUAGACAGUCCAGCAACUGAAUUUCCGGGACGGUUUUGUUCUUCAUGGCUACUCAUGGUUCCUGAAAUUUCUUAAACACAAAACGUUAGGAUUAAAACUCACACUCUCAAGUGUUUGUUCCUCACCCACACACGUGUUUCUCUCGAUUUAAAAGUGAUCACUCAAGUUUCCACUCAAAGUUCUAUGAAGAACAGAUCUCGGAAUCUGGAUGGCCAAACUUAAGCAAAACACACGGGAACUUUUAAAGAUAGAAAGAUAAGAGAUUUGUUUUAAAAGAAUCCGUUUUAACCUCCUCAAAGGCUGGAUUUCUCCUCAGCCAGCAGGCUUCCUCUUCCACCACCAAUCCACAAAGUAAACUCUUUCUUUUUUUUUUUUAUAAUAUGGAUCUUGCUUGUUUCUUUUUUUUUUUCUUAUAAGUGGAUGGUAAUGAGGGGCCCGGAUUCAAGAUAGACAGAUGAAGAAGUGUUUAGAAGAAAAUGGAAGAUGAGAAGAUGGAUCGAGAUAGAGAAUACCAGAAGAGUGGCUCUGAUACCACUUAGAGGACCCUAAGAUCGGAUUGCCCUCGACUGGAUUCGUUUGGAUAUGAACUCCGGAAAGGAGAACUGAUGGAACGUUGGGUCGCACAAGGGUUGCGGAUGUUCCCUUGAUAUUCCCGACUUCAAUGGCGCUUGAUAUGACUCACAAGUCCGCCAAGGAAGAUCUCGAACUAGUUGCUUGAUAUGACUCACAAGACCAACUAGUUGAGAAGUGAAUUGCUCGGAUAUGACUCACCAAGACAAUCGAAAACAAGUUAUAAAGAGAACAGAGAGUUUAAACUCAGAAACUUAAUCCAAAAUGAUCUGAUUUUAUUAAUGAAAUGAAACACUUAUUUAUAGUACAAGGAGGAGACAAAGGGGCUACUUGACUAGAAGUUUGAAAGACAAAUAAAAUUAAAGACAUUUGACUAGGAUUUUGAAAGACAAAGAAAAAGACUCUUCAAUCUGCGGACUGGUCAAAGUGACCCUUCGGCUUGUUGAACCGCGGCCAGGAGCAGGACGGUCGCGGGCCGGUCCGUCUGUUCCGUCUUGUCCGUCUCCUGAACCAUCUUCGACCAUAAUCGUCCUAAGUCUUCUGAAAGAUGAAGAAUCUGUGCCUUAGAGAGAUUUGGAUGAUCAAAGUGCAUGAACUGAUCAAAUGGAUCGAUCAGUUCGUCAAUACGGUCGGUACGUUCCAAACGUGCGAGAAGAGAGAAGUCGCGUCCAGUUCCUAGUUCGGCUCGGCCUAAGUUGCUUCUGGCUUGACCGUCAGUCUGAGAUUGGGGAGUUGUCCGAGAGAGAGAUGAUCCAGUACGGUCAGUUCGGCUGAUAGGUCGAGGAUCCAGUCUAAGCUUCUUCCCGUCCAUCCGUGGA